UCGCAAUCCUCCCGUGAAAAAAAAACAUGCGAAAAAAACCUACGAUCGAUGCCUCGUGCCCAAAGCAGAUCUUCCUCCGCCGCCAACCAUCCCUUCGCAAGCCCGAUCCACCCCUUCUCCCCCGCCGGACAUCCAUACCUGUGCCGCGGCCGAUCCUAACCUUCGCCGCCGCCCUCGCACACCAUAGCCGCCGCCCAUCUGCUUCAGGAUCGCUUCUGGAGACGGCACCGCGAUCCCGUGUAGGAGUCGCGGGCGAUCACGCCCAGGAUCCGACGGCGAUUCCCUGCCGGCGCUGAUCCCAGUUCAUGAGUACGUAUGGGGAAUCCACAAAGCAAAGCAGCGGAACAUAUGACAUCGUCAGAUGUACCUCCAGAUAAGUUGGAUGGAACAAAUGAUGUUGAGAACUACACAAGAGUGCCAAGUAUGCCAGUUGGAUCAACCACGCAACCGGUUGUUCCUCAUAAUGAUAUUGUGAGUACUGAAGUUGUUGCAUAUCAGAUGUAUGGGACAAUAUUUGAUGAUAAUUACCCUAUUAGUCCAGAUCGGUCCAUACCUAGACAGACCGCACAACCGGUUGUUCCCCAACCCACUGAUGGUGAUAUCACAUAUGUUCAGUGGCCUUCCCAUCUUGUCUCAGACAACCCGGCAACCUCAUUCAUAUUGAAUGAAGCUUCGUUUGUGCCUCUCAGUUGUCUCACAUACGAGUCUACCACAGCCGUAGCACAAAGUGUAAAUGAGGCUCAUGAUGUGUCUCAUAUAGAUGGAAGAAGACACGUGUACAUUAAUGCAACAUCUCGAGUUUUACCCCAAUCCGAUUCAACAUCUGAGCACAUGACUACAAGAUCUGUCUGGAAUGUCUCCAAACAAACUAAGAAAGGUAUCUUCCCUGACAAAAAAGAGGGAGCACAUAAACGCCAAGAGGCGAGCUGUUUAUCGAAAGAAACAAGAUGAGGAAGCAGAAACACUAGAGCAUGAAUAUUAACCUUCCGUUACAAUGUCUGUCUAUGAUAAUAGGGAGCUAAUAAACGGGCGGAGGCGGGUAGCGUAUCGUAAGAACAAAUAGUAUGCUGACAAAAACAAAGAGCAGAUAAAAGCUCCGAGGCGAGGUGGUUAUCGAAAGAAAAAUGAGGACGCCGCCAACAAGCAUCUCCAUGCAAAUCUUCCUGCCCUUAACAUAUCGGGUACGAGUAUGCUAUAUUACAGCACUACGACGAAUGUAUAUACUCAUUUUGUUGCCAACUAUAUGAUUGUUAUCGGAAGAUAAAUGAGUACAACACCUUCAAUCAUCAAGCGGGCAUGCAAAGUGUUCCAUAGAGCGCUCUCGGUGAUUUCACUAUGACAUCGUCAGAUGUACCUCCAGUGGUUGCAGAUAAGUUGGAUGGGACACAUGAUGGUGAUAACUACCCAAGUAUGCCAAGUAUGCCAGUUGGAUCAACCCCGCAACCGGUUGUUCCGCAUAAUGAGAUCGUGAGUACUGAAGUUGUUGCAUAUCAGAUGGAUGGGACAACAUUUGAUGAUAAUUACCCUAUUAGUCCAGGUAUGAGUCUGUGCGGAGAGAGUACUCAUAAUUUUAUUCUCUUAAUGUGAUGAACUAUAUCUCAGUUGCAAGUAUGAACCAACUUUAGAUCGGUCCAUACCUGGACAGACCGCACAGCCGGUUGUUCCCCAACACACCGAUGGUGAUAUCACAUAUGUUCAGCGGCCUUCCCAUCUGAUCUCAGAUGAGUAUUAAACAUAAUGAAUAAUCGACACUUCGGUUAGCAGUAAACUGACUCAUUAUGUCCACUACCGGUUAUUUUUACUUCAAGCAAACAACCCGGCAAGCUCAUUCAUAAUGAAUGACGCUUCGUUUGUGCCUCUCAGUUGUCUCACACACGAGUCUGGAACAGCCAUAGCACAAAGUGUAAAUGGUAUUACCGGAUUCGUCUUUAGUUGUGAACCGUAUCAUGCUUAUAUAGGUUGUUGCAGAUGUUCAAGAUUCAUAUUGAUUUUGUGUUGUUCCAGAGGCUCUAGAUGUGUCUCGUAUAGAUGGCGGAAGACACAUGUACAUUAAUGCAACUGCUCAAGUUUUACCCCAACCCGAUUCAACAUACGAGCACAUGACUACAGGAUCUGUCGUGAAUGUCUCCAAACAAACUAAGAAAGGUAUCUUGUCUAACGAAAAAAGGGAUAAGAUAAACGCCAAGAGGCGAGCUGCUUAUCAUAACAAAAAGAGGAGGAAGCAGAGAAACUACAACAUGAAUAUCAACCUUCCCUUACAAUGUCUGAUGACAAGAGGGAGCUAAUAAACGCGCGGAGACGGGCAUCGUAUCGUAAGAACAAAGAGGAUGCUGACAAAAACAAGGAGCCACUAAAACCUCCGAGGCGAGGUGGUUAUCGAAAGAAAAAUGAGGACACCGCCAACAAGCAUCUCCAUGAAAAUCUCUCUGCCCUUGACAUAUCGGGUACGAGUAUGUUAUAUUUCAGCACUACGACGAAUGUAUAUACUCCCUUUGUUGCCAACUGUAUGAUUGUUAUCGGAAGAUAAAUGAGUACAACACCUUCAAUCAUCAAGCAGGUAUGCAAAGUGUACCACAGAGCGCUCUCGGUGAUAUCACUAAUGGGGAACAACCAUCCUCUAUAAUCCUUGAUGAUAAAAAGGUGCAGAAAAAGGCUCAAAGCCGAGCUACGUGAAGCACCAAGAUGAAAAUCUUCCUGCCCUUACGAUAUCGGCUUAGAAUACUUUAUGAUUCAGCUCGCCUUUAUUGUACAUAGUCAUAAUGUUUCUAAUUUAAGUAUGGUUAAUAA
Molecule: long non-coding RNA, 2787 nt
Organism: Triticum aestivum (bread wheat)
Lineage: Eukaryota; Viridiplantae; Streptophyta; Magnoliopsida; Poales; Poaceae
Exons: 9
Source: RefSeq, a predicted model, not a curated record